RNAcentral lists this ribosomal RNA (429 nucleotides) under Bacteroidota bacterium. RNAcentral describes it as "Bacteroidetes bacterium partial 16S ribosomal RNA". It matches the Rfam family "Bacterial small subunit ribosomal RNA", at positions 355 to 776 of the family's 1533-position model. Lineage: Bacteria; Pseudomonadati; Bacteroidota. The record is from RNAcentral.
UAGGGAAUCUUCGGCAAUGGGGGGAACCCUGACCGAGCAACGCCGCGUGAGUGAAGAAGGUUUUCGGAUCGUAAAGCUCUGUUGUUAAGGAAGAACGAGUGUGAGAAUGGAAAGUUCAUACUGUGACGGUACUUAACCAGAAAGGGACGGCUAACUACGUGCCAGCAGCCGCGGUAAUACGUAGGUCCCGAGCGUUGUCCGGAUUUAUUGGGCGUAAAGCGAGCGCAGGCGGUUAGAAAAGUCUGAAGUGAAAGGCAGUGGCUCAACCAUUGUAGGCUUUGGAAACUGUUUAACUUGAGUGCAGAAGGGGAGAGUGGAAUUCCAUGUGUAGCGGUGAAAUGCGCAGAGAUAUGGAGGAACACCAGUGGCGAAGGCGACUUUCUGGUCUGUAACUGACGCUGAUGUGCGAAAGCGUGGGAAUCAAACAGG